RNAcentral lists this ribosomal RNA (254 nucleotides) under uncultured bacterium. Its description in RNAcentral is "partial 16S ribosomal RNA". It matches the Rfam family "Bacterial small subunit ribosomal RNA", at positions 524 to 776 of the family's 1533-position model. The record is from RNAcentral.
UACGUAGGGGGCGAGCGUUGUCCGGAUUCAUUGGGCGUAAAGAGCUCGUAGGCGGCUUGGCAAGUCGGGUGUGAAAACUCCAGGCUCAACCUGGAGAUGCCACCCGAUACUGCUAUGGCUUGAGUUCGGUAGGGGACCACGGAAUUCCUGGUGUAGCGGUGAAAUGCGCAGAUAUCAGGAGGAACACCGGUGGCGAAGGCGGUGGUCUGGGCCGACACUGACGCUGAGGAGCGAAAGCGUGGGGAGCGAACAGG